UCCAGCUGAAUGAUCCCUGCAGUGGAGACGAUCGCGUCGGUGAGACGGAAGAGGAAGGGCGGCCCAUCCGCCGCGGCCCUUAGGUGAGGUCGCGGAGGCACAGAGAAGUUCAGUGACCCGCCCGGGGUCACACAGCUGACAAGUGGCAGAAUCGGGAUCCGAACCCAUGACCGCCGACCCCCAGCGUGGAAAGAGCCACGCCGCUUCUUUAGUACCGUACGGGAGUACGGGAGACUCCGUAGGCGUGAUCUCUGUCCACUAAGGGAGCCUACAGUCUGAUCGACCGAUGGAUUGCAAUGCAGUUUUCUGCUGGAAUCUCUGGUGCCGGGAGGUCACGUGUGUACUUUUUUUUUAAAAAAAAAAUCCAACGUA
Molecule: long non-coding RNA, 372 nt
Organism: Ornithorhynchus anatinus (platypus)
Lineage: Eukaryota; Metazoa; Chordata; Mammalia; Monotremata; Ornithorhynchidae
Exons: 2
Source: RefSeq, a predicted model, not a curated record